GGGCCCGUAGCUUAGCAUGGUAGAGCGCUCGGCUGAUAAGUGACCUCAGACACCGAGAGGCCGAGGGUUCAAAUCCCUCCGGGCCCA
Molecule: transfer RNA, 87 nt
Filed under: Sulfodiicoccus acidiphilus
Lineage: Archaea; Thermoproteati; Thermoproteota; Thermoprotei; Sulfolobales; Sulfolobaceae
Rfam family: tRNA
About the family: Transfer RNA (tRNA) molecules are approximately 80 nucleotides in length. Their secondary structure includes four short double-helical elements and three loops (D, anti-codon, and T loops).
Source: Rfam by way of RNAcentral